CAAGGAAACAGGGUAAUAAUUCUUUCAAUGUUUGAAGAACUUCAUGUGAGGUUUAUAAGAGUUAUUAGUCUUUAUAAGAGUUUCCUAAUGUUCCUUGAUAUCUAGCCAUGUUUGUGAAUUGUGAGGGGAUUCACACUUCACAGAAAUUUAUAGUCCAUGUCAUAUUUUUACUGAAACCCAAUUAACCCAUCAGGGACAAAACAGAUCAUUACUAUUUUUCAGAAUGCAUGGAAAUGCUUCAAACUUUGUGUUCUAACUUUGUGUUUCAUUUACAUGAAAUAGCAAACAUAAACUACAGGGAAAAUAACUAUGGCCAUUAACUUCAACUUAGUUAAUUUCAACCAUUAAACUUCAACUUACCUGGAAGUGAUCGAUCGUCGGAAGAAUGGAGAUGGUCGGAAGCCCAGAGCAACUAAUUAACAACAGACUAGCCGCUGGUCGUCGCUCGCCGGUCGGAAGCCGCUGGUCGUCUAUAGGUUGCUCGUCAGAAAUCGAAUUAACAAUCGCCGGAGAUGGGAGUGGGUGAAAAAGAAGAUCGCCG
Molecule: long non-coding RNA, 541 nt
Filed under: Zostera marina
Lineage: Eukaryota; Viridiplantae; Streptophyta; Magnoliopsida; Alismatales; Zosteraceae
Description: long non-coding RNA (ZMAR_LNC003557)
Source: RNAcentral